RNAcentral lists this transfer RNA (73 nucleotides) under Bos taurus (domestic cattle). It matches the Rfam family "tRNA". From Rfam's summary of the family: Transfer RNA (tRNA) molecules are approximately 80 nucleotides in length. RNAcentral also lists the same sequence under 2 other names. Lineage: Eukaryota; Metazoa; Chordata; Mammalia; Artiodactyla; Bovidae. The record is from Rfam by way of RNAcentral.
UCCCUGGUAGUCCAGUGGCUAGGACUCCACACUCCCAACGCAGGGAGCCCAGGUUUGAUUCCUGGUCAGGGAA